Molecule: ribosomal RNA, 264 nt
Filed under: uncultured bacterium
Lineage: Bacteria
Description: partial 16S ribosomal RNA
Rfam family: Bacterial small subunit ribosomal RNA
Source: RNAcentral
UUCGAGUGGCGGACGGGUGAGUAACGCGUGGGUAACCUGCCUUACACAGGGGGAUAACACCUGGAAACAGGUGCUAAUACCGCAUAAGCGCACAGGGCCGCAUGGCCCGGUGUGAAAAACUCCGGUGGUGUAAGAUGGAUCCGCGUCUGAUUAGCUUGUUGGCGGGGUAGGGGCCCACCAAGGCGACGAUCAGUAGCCGGCCUGAGAGGGUGGACGGCCACAUUGGGACUGAGACACGGCCCAAACUCCUACGGGAGGCAGCAG